Long non-coding RNA from Paramormyrops kingsleyae, 1171 nucleotides. RefSeq lists it as uncharacterized. The record is from RefSeq and is a predicted model, not a curated record. NCBI's taxonomy places the organism in Eukaryota, Metazoa, Chordata, Actinopteri, Osteoglossiformes, Mormyridae.
CCAACGUCUCAUGAGGGUUCCGGCCGAAUGUUUGCCAUUUGGAAAGUCAGCUGACAAAUAUGCGCCGUCUCGUCGGUCGGGCGGAGGCGAAGUCAAACACGGAGCGGCGCCGCCGACGCGCUUUAUCAGCUGCAGCGCCGCUGCUGCCGAUACCAGCCCCCAAAUGUCACUGCAAUAAAGCGCAACUGUCCUCAAGAGGUUAAUUACGACACGCGCCAGUGAGGAGUGCGACUGCGGCCAUACAAAAGACGGGGAAAUACCAAAAAAUAAAAGAAAACACAAUUCCGUAUAGAACGUGAGAGACUUUCCAGCAGUUCAAGGAAAACAACAUUUAAAAAACUUCAAUACCAAAUAAAAUACAAAAGGCCCUCUCUUUCGUAUCCUAGCUAUUGCGCAUUUUGCAGGACUCUCCUAAACUGCAAAGGCUACUCCAACCUCUCCACCAAUCGGUUUUCCACCAUCCACAUCGGGCUUCUCUGGUGUCGCAUUACCCGCAGUGAGGUUUAAACACGGUGGACAAAAAUGGUGGUAUCACGCCUUUAAAGAAAAUGACCUAUAGACCAUUCUCUUUCCUUUCACUUCACUGUCUUUCUUGGAACUAGUGCAGGCGUUCAUUUAACGUUUCAACUGAUGCGUUUUCAUCGUUUCAUGCUGACUGGCGCAUUGGGGACUGUGGGCACGCAGUCUGGCUCGCAGACGUACGGGGCCGCAGCGAGCUCCUCACAUGACUCUCAGGACUGUAUCAUGUGACUCUGCAUGGACAAUGUGUCUUGGCAGGGGCGUGCAUUCCUGUGAAAAUGAGAACAGGCGCUACGCAAGAAAACUUCAAUAAACAAGCUCCUCUUCACAGGGGCUAUGUAAGUUAGCAAAAACCCGCCUCGCCUCGCAGUAACGUCCACGUAAAUGCCUGGAACAGAAGAAUCAUCGAGAUUAUAUCCUCAGGUUGCUCUUUCGUUACCUGUACACGGUUGUGUCACUGCUAAGGACAAGGGUCCCCAGCUAGCGAUAAUCAAGCCCCCCAGCUGCAAGUCCUUCCAAGCCCCCUGCCUGCCGUUGGACGCACAGAGACGAGGAAAAGGAACUCCCCGAGCUUGUGAACGGGCCAAAUGUCACAUUUUCCAGCGCUGCCUUGUGUUUACUGCUGUUUGUUAAUAAAUCAAAUUACAUCUGA